This is a long non-coding RNA of Scylla paramamosain (green mud crab), 551 nucleotides long. RefSeq lists it as uncharacterized. Lineage: Eukaryota; Metazoa; Arthropoda; Malacostraca; Decapoda; Portunidae. The transcript is spliced from 2 exons. The record is from RefSeq and is a predicted model, not a curated record.
AAGGGUGCCCGGACAACUGAACCAGUGACAACUGAACCAGUGACAAUUGGACCAGUGACAAUUGGACCAGUGGACAACUGAGCCAGUGGACAACUGAACCAGUGGACAACUGAACCAGUGGACAACUGAACCAGUGAACCACUGAACCAGUGACAACUGAACCAGUGGACAACUAAACCAGUGACAACUGAACCAGUGACAAUUGAACCAGUGACAACUGAACCAGUGACAACUGAACCAGUGACAAUUGAACCAGUGUCAAAAAAUGUUAUCUGUUUGCUACGGCAUAGGUUAGGUUAGGUUAGGUUAGGUUAGGUUAGGUUAGGUUAGGUUAGGUUAGGUUAGGUUAGGUUAGGUUAGGUUAGGUUAGCCACUAAAAUUAAGAUGUAUAGAGCUGAAGUAGAUAAGCUCCUGUAUUUGCGAGCAGUAGCUAAUAUGCAGGUCGUGUAAAUAGGGGACACUGUAGUGCACUAUAUGUGAUUAUAUCAGUUGGUUUAUAUUUUUACUACAUGAAUGAUUCUAAAAACUACUGAACCAUAGUAUCGCCACUA